UUGAACUGAAGAGUUUGAUCAUGGCUCAGAUUGAACGCUGGCGGCAGGCCUAACACAUGCAAGUCGAGCGGAUGACGGGAGCUUGCUCCUUGAUUCAGCGGCGGACGGGUGAGUAAUGCCUAGGAAUCUGCCUGGUAGUGGGGGACAACGUUUCGAAAGGAACGCUAAUACCGCAUACGUCCUACGGGAGAAAGCAGGGGACCUUCGGGCCUUGCGCUAUCAGAUGAGCCUAGGUCGGAUUAGCUAGUUGGUGAGGUAAUGGCUCACCAAGGCGACGAUCCGUAACUGGUCUGAGAGGAUGAUCAGUCACACUGGAACUGAGACACGGUCCAGACU
Molecule: ribosomal RNA, 336 nt
Filed under: Pseudomonas putida S11
Lineage: Bacteria; Pseudomonadati; Pseudomonadota; Gammaproteobacteria; Pseudomonadales; Pseudomonadaceae
Description: bacterial SSU rRNA
Rfam family: Bacterial small subunit ribosomal RNA
Source: RNAcentral